CCUGAAGCCUGGACUUGGCAUUCCCCCGCAAGCCAGGAAGGAGGCAGGAUGGAAGAGUUCUCUGCAGCAGACUCUCUGCCCAGACCAUCCAACACAGCUUUUGCAAGGUUCAAAAUGCUGCCGCUGCCGCCACCACCCCUUUUAUUGACAGAGCUUGAACGUCCCUGUGCUCAGGGUGGAAUCCCAGGAAAAACUCUCUUUAUUUUGCUCUUGGACAAGUACAAAAAUCUUCCACAUGCAAGCCUUCACAUGGAUCUGUCAUGAAUGAGUCUAACAGAUCAACUCAAGAGAAUAGAACUAGCAAGUCCAGGAGGAUCUCAAGGCCAAUAUCUUUCUUUCAAUCAAUAAUUUGGACUGCUAAUAAGCAACUGGUAUUGGAUAACUGACUCACCCACCUAGUGUUACCUCCAAUAUGGCAUACCCAAAUGUAUAUUCCUGUUUAUUUUACAUGUAGAUACCUCUAAUAAAGGACUUGGUGCAGUUCUCUCUCAAUGACAAGAAAGCUGACUCUGGUUUAUCUAGUAUGGGCUGAGGACAUUUAUUUUUAUUUUAUUGUUAAAUUUAUAUACCGCCUUUCAUUAAAAACAAUCCCAAGGCAGUUUACAAAAGUUAAAAAACAUAUAAUAAAAAUGACAAAAGUAUUAAGCUAAAAAUAUGAAAACAAAUCUGAUUUAAAAUAUAUAAAAUACAAACAUAAAAAACUGUACAUGGAUAAACACACACAGAAGCAGCAAUAAAAAAAUCAUGUAAAGGCCUGGAUAGUAUGAGUUUUUUAUUUACUACUCAGAGAAGGGAUGGAAAAGAUUAGAUUUAUGACUUUUUAAAACUUUUUUUUUUAACUCUAGCACUGAAGAACAUUAUAAAGUUCUAAAAUGUAUCCUUUUUUGUUAGACUCAGGAUUCUGGAAGUUUUUGAAUAAUCCUCAAGGUUUUUAAAAUUAUUAUUCAUAUAGGUCUUAAAUCAGAUGAAGGAUGAAAUUGGAGUGGGGAAAUCCACAUUUGAGUAGACCAGUAAGUGGUGGAUUUCUUAUGAGGAUACUGCCUUAUUGCAGAACACUGCAGAUUUUUGGUUCUGUUCUUGAAUUAAUUAUAUUACCCAUACUUUUUUUCUCAAGGCAGGGUUGGUUCUCUUCUCUUUAAACUAUUCAGUUGUUGGGCGAUCAAUUGGUUCAGGGGGAGUUUCUUUUGAAAGGUUCAAUAUCCUUCAUAGAUGACUAGAUUUAGUUUUUGCGAGUUUUGUUAUCUUAAUAUUUCUUACUCCUUAUAUGUACACAUAUAUAAUUACUAUUAUUGUAACUUUCUUAUGUAUGGUUUAGAUAAGAUGGAUAAGAUCUUGUUUGUAAACAUGUAUGGUUUUGUUGGAUUCUCAGAGAUGUAACCUUUUCUGUUUCUACCUUUAAUACUAAUAAAAGCAUUAAAAA
Molecule: long non-coding RNA, 1420 nt
Organism: Hemicordylus capensis (graceful crag lizard)
Lineage: Eukaryota; Metazoa; Chordata; Lepidosauria; Squamata; Cordylidae
Exons: 3
Source: RefSeq, a predicted model, not a curated record